RNAcentral lists this ribosomal RNA (305 nucleotides) under uncultured bacterium. RNAcentral's name for it is "bacterial SSU rRNA". It matches the Rfam family "Bacterial small subunit ribosomal RNA", at positions 336 to 657 of the family's 1533-position model. The record is from RNAcentral.
UUCCUACGGGAGGCAGCAGUGGGGGAUAUUGCACAAUGGGGGAAACCCUGAUGCAGCGACGCCGCGUGAGUGAAGAAGUAUUUGGGUACGUAAAGCUCUAUCAGCAGGGAAGAAUAAUGACGGUACCCGACCAAGAAGCCCCGGCUAACUACGUGCCAGCAGCCGCGGUAAUACGUAGGGGGCGAGCGUUAUCCGGAAUUACUGGGUGUAAAGGGAGCGUAGACGGCGAGGUAAGCCUGAAGUGGAAGCCCGCGGCCCAACCGCGGAACUGCUUUGGGAACUGUUUUGCUGGAGUAUGGGAGGGG